RNAcentral lists this long non-coding RNA (322 nucleotides) under Musa acuminata (dwarf banana). Its description in RNAcentral is "long non-coding RNA (MACU_LNC003966)". Lineage: Eukaryota; Viridiplantae; Streptophyta; Magnoliopsida; Zingiberales; Musaceae. The record is from RNAcentral.
GGCGGCAGAAGAUGGAACGCAAGCGUCAGCCCUGAAGUCUCUGUACGACGCCGUGAACGCCGCCUUGGACCAGUCGGUCUUCACCAGCCCGCCUCUGGUCGCCCAGUCGUCGGCAUUCCAGAGGCUGGAGUAGAUCCUCAUGGGCUGGUUCUUGGGGAACGCGAUGCCCCUCGACUCCAGGUUCUUGAAGUCUCGGAUUGGCGUGCCGUCCACCAUGAAGCUGAAAGGUUGAUGCAGAUUCAUGGUGAGCAUAACUGUAAUGGAAUGAGAGUAGGCAGCAUAUCGAGUGGAAUACGCACAUGACAUGUCUUGGGUUCCAGAG